CACAAAGACCAUAGUCCUUGUUUAGAUGCUCGUUAUUUGAGGGAGACACACCCAAAUCGCAUACCAGUGAUUUUUAAGAAGGAUGCAAGUAGUGACAUUCCUGACAUGGACGGGGAGAAGUUAGUUUCGAAUUCCCUUGUGCUUUAAUUAUUUUGAUUUGUGUUUGUACAUUCAAAUAGAAUUGUUCUCAUUUCAUUUAUGCUUUUGAUAUAUGUUUUGAAAUUGGUCAG
Prunus avium (sweet cherry) is the source of this 230-nucleotide non-coding RNA. NCBI's taxonomy places the organism in Eukaryota, Viridiplantae, Streptophyta, Magnoliopsida, Rosales, Rosaceae. The record is from RefSeq and is a predicted model, not a curated record.